RNAcentral lists this ribosomal RNA (250 nucleotides) under uncultured prokaryote. Its description in RNAcentral is "partial 16S ribosomal RNA". It matches the Rfam family "Bacterial small subunit ribosomal RNA", at positions 524 to 773 of the family's 1533-position model. The record is from RNAcentral.
AACGUAGGAGACGAGCGUUAUCCGGAUUUACUGGGCGUAAAGCGCGUGUAGGAGGCUUGUCAAGUUGGAUGUAAAAUCUCCCGGCUUAACUGGGAGGCGUCGUUCAAAACUGAUGAGCUAGAGUAGUGUAGAGGUAAUCGGAACUCCGGGAGUAGCGGUGAAAUGCGUAGAUAUCCGGAAGAACACCAGAGGCGAAAGCGGAUUACUGGACACCAACUGACACUGAGACGCGAAAGCCAGGGUAGCAAAC